This 1207-nucleotide long non-coding RNA is filed under the name Marmota monax (woodchuck). The record is from RNAcentral. Lineage: Eukaryota; Metazoa; Chordata; Mammalia; Rodentia; Sciuridae.
CAAGCCUGGGGUCUGGGUGGGUGAGUGUAAAGGGAAGGAGGAGCCCCUGCCUGAGGACAGGAAGGAGCCGUGGGAGGCCGCCUGGCAGGGGAGCUGGGUCAGACCUAGGGAGGCGCCUGGGUGUGUGUGGUGGGUGUCUGAUCCAGUUAGCUGCGGCCGUGUCCCUCCAGGUUACAGCACGGUGGUGUGGUGACUGACAUGCAAAACCAGACAGGCCCAAGCUGCUGCCUGGCUCACCAGGUGACCUUGCCUAAAUCAAUUAGCUUCUGAGAGCCCAGUUUCCUUAUCCAACUAAAAUUAAUUAGCACUGUGCACCUCCAGAGCUGUCAUGAGGAAAAACAGAUCCAGCAGCUGCCUCUGACACACACUGGACUCUGGGCUGCCAGGCCCUCUCCCCUCCCGCCAUGCACACUCACCCUGCCCAGGGCCCAGGAGGACGAAGGCUCUCCCGCAUCAGGGGAAGCCCAGAUCCCAGUGGAGCUGACCCAGUAGAAGGCCUAGGACCAUAAAAGGACCAUCAGAGACCCCCAUAGGCAAAAUUCCAUCCAUUGGAGGGGCAUCUUCUGCAGUGGGGACCGAGAAGCAAGAAUCAGGAAGGGAGUGAGACUCUGACACUCCACCGGCCCCACCCCCACCCCAGUGUGAGUCCUGCCCAGCAUGUUGAGACUGUGCCCUGGACCACUAGGGGAGAGACAAGCCAGGCCCCGUGGACCCAGCCAUACUCCCCCCACAUACUCUGGCAGCUGGGCCUGGAGCAGGGGUGACCAGGACCCCUGGGGAUGCAGGUAGGGGUGGAAGCUACUGGUGGCUCUCUCCUGGUCCUGGGGCAGGGAGGGAGCUUCCCUCAACUUCUUUACCAGCAGUCGGGCCAGGGAAGUCCCUCUGAGGGACCAGCAGGGUGGGGCUGGCCCCCAGAGGACACUGGGACUAAUGUCCCCAACGUGACCCUGGCCCCUUCCCUACACUCACCCUCCAGCCAGGCCCUUUUCUGUUGACCCAGCAGUUUUCGUUUUUUGUUCCUUAAGCCUCUGAGCAAACUCUGGGCUGGUUGUGGAUGGCACUGCAGCCCCACACCCGGUGCCCCAGAUGGCCACCUCAAAGGAGCCCAGAGAGGGCAAAGUGGUCCUGGGAAGAUUCCCGCCCAGAGUGCUAGAGCAACAGUCUGCCUGGUCGGUGGCAGCAGAGGCAGCGUAGAGGGACGUCCUGG